This is a long non-coding RNA of Mercenaria mercenaria, 140 nucleotides long. RefSeq lists it as uncharacterized. NCBI's taxonomy places the organism in Eukaryota, Metazoa, Mollusca, Bivalvia, Venerida, Veneridae. The transcript is spliced from 3 exons. The record is from RefSeq and is a predicted model, not a curated record.
GACUUUAGAGUACAGGCCACAGCAGCUUUUAUCAAUGAAGGCAGGAACUAUAUAGUAGAGUUACUACGUUUUGCAGUUGAUAGUUACAUUGUUUGGUUGUCUUCUACAGUUACAAGUAAACAAAAGUGCUGAUUUGUCCC